CGGGAAGUAGCUCAGCUUGGUCGAGCACUUGGUUUGGGACCACGGGGUCGCAGGUUCGAAUCCUGUCUUCCCGA
RNAcentral lists this transfer RNA (74 nucleotides) under Staphylococcus aureus. RNAcentral's name for it is "tRNA-Pro". It matches the Rfam family "tRNA". Rfam says of the family: Transfer RNA (tRNA) molecules are approximately 80 nucleotides in length. Their secondary structure includes four short double-helical elements and three loops (D, anti-codon, and T loops). Further hydrogen bonds mediate the characteristic L-shaped molecular structure. tRNAs have two regions of fundamental functional importance: the anti-codon, which is responsible for specific mRNA codon recognition, and the 3' end, to which the tRNAs corresponding amino acid is attached (by aminoacyl-tRNA synthetases). tRNAs cope with the degeneracy of the genetic code in two manners: having more than one tRNA (with a specific anti-codon) for a particular amino acid; and 'wobble' base-pairing, i.e. permitting non-standard base-pairing at the 3rd anti-codon position. The record is from RNAcentral. Lineage: Bacteria; Bacillati; Bacillota; Bacilli; Caryophanales; Staphylococcaceae.